RNAcentral lists this ribosomal RNA (491 nucleotides) under uncultured bacterium. RNAcentral describes it as "partial 16S ribosomal RNA". It matches the Rfam family "Bacterial small subunit ribosomal RNA", at positions 29 to 507 of the family's 1533-position model. The record is from RNAcentral.
AGUGAACGCUGGCGGUAGGCCUAACACAUGCAAGUCAACGGCAGCACAGUAAGAGCUUGCUCUUACGGGUGGCGAGUGGCGGACGGGUGAGGAAUACAUCGGAAUCUACUUUUUCGUGGGGGAUAACGUAGGGAAACUUACGCUAAUACCGCAUACGACCUACGGGUGAAAGCAGGGGAUCUUCGGACCUUGCGCGAUUGAAUGAGCCGAUGUCGGAUUAGCUAGUUGGCGGGGUAAAGGCCCACCAAGGCGACGAUCCGUAGCUGGUCUGAGAGGAUGAUCAGCCACACUGGAACUGAGACACGGUCCAGACUCCUACGGGAGGCAGCAGUGGGGAAUAUUGGACAAUGGGCGCAAGCCUGAUCCAGCCAUACCGCGUGGGUGAAGAAGGCCUUCGGGUUGUAAAGCCCUUUUGUUGGGAAAGAAAAGCAGCAGGUUAAUACCCCGCUGUUCUGACGGUACCCAAAGAAUAAGCACCGGCUAACUUCGUG